MicroRNA precursor from Gadus morhua (Atlantic cod), 59 nucleotides. NCBI's taxonomy places the organism in Eukaryota, Metazoa, Chordata, Actinopteri, Gadiformes, Gadidae. The record is from Ensembl.
CCACUAGUUUUUUUGUAACAGAUGUUGUAUUGAUUCUCUGCUAUAAUCAACUGUGGGAA